RNAcentral lists this ribosomal RNA (497 nucleotides) under uncultured bacterium. RNAcentral's name for it is "partial 16S ribosomal RNA". It matches the Rfam family "Bacterial small subunit ribosomal RNA", at positions 28 to 507 of the family's 1533-position model. The record is from RNAcentral.
GAUGAACGUUGGCGGCGUGCCUAAUACAUGCAAGUCGAGCGAACGGACGAGAAGCUUGCUUCUCUGAUGUUAGCGGCGGACGGGUGAGUAACACGUGGAUAACCUACCUAUAAGACUGGGAUAACUUCGGGAAACCGGAGCUAAUACCGGAUAAUAUUUUGAACCGCAUGGUUCAAAAGUGAAAGACGGUCUUGCUGUCACUUAUAGAUGGAUCCGCGCUGCAUUAGCUAGUUGGUAAGGUAACGGCUUACCAAGGCAACGAUGCAUAGCCGACCUGAGAGGGUGAUCGGCCACACUGGAACUGAGACACGGUCCAGACUCCUACGGGAGGCAGCAGUAGGGAAUCUUCCGCAAUGGGCGAAAGCCUGACGGAGCAAUGCCGCGUGAGUGAUGAAGGUCUUCGGAUCGUAAAACUCUGUUAUUAGGGAAGAACAGAUGUGUAAGUAACUGUGCACAUCUUGACGGUACCUAAUCAGAAAGCCACGGCUAACUACGUG